RNAcentral lists this ribosomal RNA (465 nucleotides) under uncultured bacterium. Its description in RNAcentral is "partial 16S ribosomal RNA". It matches the Rfam family "Bacterial small subunit ribosomal RNA", at positions 28 to 507 of the family's 1533-position model. The record is from RNAcentral.
GACGAACGCUGGCGGCGUGCUUAACACAUGCAAGUCGAACGGAAAGGCCCUGCUUGCAGGGUACUCGAGUGGCGAACGGGUGAGUAACACGUGGGUGAUCUGCCCUGCACUUCGGGAUAAGCCUGGGAAACUGGGUCUAAUACCGGAUAGGAGCCAUUUUUAGUGUGAUGGUUGGAAAGUUUUUUCGGUGUAGGAUGAGCUCGCGGCCUAUCAGCUUGUUGGUGGGGUAAUGGCCUACCAAGGCGGCGACGGGUAGCCGGCCUGGGAGGGUGGACGGCCACAUUGGGACUGAGAUACGGCCCAGACUCCGACGGGAGGCAGCAGUGGGGAAUAUUGCACAAUGGGCGCAAGCCUGAUGCAGCGACGCCGCGUGGGGGAGGACGGCCUUCGGGUUGGAAACUCCUUUCGCUAGGGACGAAGCUUUUUGUGACGGUACCUAGAUAAGAAGCACCGGCUAACUACGUG